UAUACUAUAAAAACUGUGAAAAAGUUCUAUUCCUUAGUAUCCGUACAUGUGGUAAAUGGUAAACCAGACGAAUUAAAUGUGUUUAUUUAUUUAGAUAAAAAUAUUAGGUACGUAAUGAUAAAAAUAUCUAUUAUUGUUAUAUAGCAUUUGUUAAACUGUCGUCUGUUUUGUCAAAUAUUUAUGAAUUUACAGUGGUUACCAGAUAAUAUAAGAGAGUAUUUCAACUUUUAUGUUGAACUUUUAUGCUCUAUUGUCAAUGUCAUCGCAGAAUCGGGCCGUGUAAAUUUUUCUCCUUUUUCCAAAAUGUUGUAAAAUACUCUACGUGUACGACUAUUUAUCAUUUUGUAAUCUUUCUCCGUAGUUGGAGUCGUAGUUUGUUUUAGAGAAUUAUUUACAGUUUUCAGAAAAUUUUUAGGGCAGCAGAAUAUGACAGUUUGAAGAUCACAAUCGAGAUUCACAAUUUAUACCUAAACAUACUACAUCAUUAUUGGAUGAUUUGGGAAUUCAAAUGUCAUGUGGGAACGUAGGAGAAUUUUCAUUUAUUCAAUAGUGUUGUUUUGAUUUUUAUUGUUUUAUUUUAGAAUAAACAAUAUUAAGGGAAAAUUUGUAGAAGCGGACGCUUGUUGAGACGUUUUUAUUAAUGCAGUAAUACAUUCAUUCUUAUAGCAUAUAAGAGACAAGACAGAGUGGGACUAAGUUCUGCGCAACAUUUUGGAUACAACGUGGAGUCGAGCAGACUGUAAUACUGACGUGCAAGGAAUUUAAGGUUUUGUUUACAAAAAAUAUAAAAAAAUCUUCAAAGUUGUCUGUUUUAAAGUUGCUUAUUAAUUUUUAAAUAAUUUUAUGAAAAUCAUAUUGUUAAAAUAUUCUUUGUAAUAUAAAUAUGUAUAUAACAUAGUAUUUUUUUUAAAAUAAUGAA
Long non-coding RNA from Danaus plexippus (monarch butterfly), 919 nucleotides. RefSeq lists it as uncharacterized. Lineage: Eukaryota; Metazoa; Arthropoda; Insecta; Lepidoptera; Nymphalidae. The record is from RefSeq and is a predicted model, not a curated record. The transcript is spliced from 2 exons.